CAGUCUGCAACUCGACUGCGUGAAGUCGGAAUCGCUAGUAAUCGCGGAUCAGCAUGCCGCGGUGAAUACGUUCCGGGUCUUGUACACACCGCCCGUCACACCAUGGGAGUCGGAAAUGCCCGAAGUCUGUGACCUAACCGUAAGGAAGGAGCAGCCGAAGGCAGGUCGGAUGACUGGGGUGAAGUCGUAACAAGGUAUC
This 199-nucleotide ribosomal RNA is filed under the name uncultured bacterium. Its description in RNAcentral is "partial 16S ribosomal RNA". It matches the Rfam family "Bacterial small subunit ribosomal RNA", at positions 1301 to 1500 of the family's 1533-position model. The record is from RNAcentral.